UGUGUUUGUUGUGUUGCUUUGUGUUGUGUUGUACCUGCCAGUACCCAGCUCUCCAGGGCCAACUUUUUUUAGAGGGCAGAGAUGUGGUUCAAAUAUGCCCAUUGUUUCCAUUGGGAACCAGUCUGAGAGCAUCCCCCUGGGCUCUGGGUAGUGCAAAUCACUGCAAACAAGGAGCAGCUGGAACUGGUAGCUCCUGCCUGGCGUGUCCCCAAGCUCUCCAAGAGAAGAAAAGGCUCUAAACCAACUGCAAUCUGUUACUUUGGAGCUAUUGAAGGCAAAAAGCAAAGAAGAGCCUGUCAUGCCAUAGCUUCCCAUAGAGGGCAGAGAUGCAGGGACACAGUGAUGCCGUAAGUCUGCGUGUCCCCAAGUUAUAGGAGGUGGGGCCACCAGCUUUGCCCCCUGAGAUCCAUCUGCCAUUGGGUCCAUGAUAGACUAGCCCAUUGAGCUGUACCUGCUGAGGUUUUGUUCAUUCUUCUCUGAUUCUACCCUAAAAUGAGCUGGUCUGAUGGAAACACUCAGAAUCAGGACAGGGCAGACCCCAAGCAGAGCCCCUUACCAAACCUCAACAAGCAACAGGAUUCUCUAACCCUCACUGCCAUCAGAGAUCCCUUCUCUUAACUGAUUACAGGAUCCCUUUUAAAAUACUUUGAAUGAGGCUCAACCACCAGGUCCCCAGGCACCCGUUAGAUGGCAGCUAUAGUCCACCCAGGCUGGAUGGGGCUUUGAGCAACUUGAUCUAGAGCGAGGUAUCCCUGCCUAUAGCAGGGGGUCGGAGCUAGAUGAUCUUAAAGGCCCCUUCAAAUCCAAUCCAUUCUAUGAUGCUAUGAUUUUGAGUGUGAGCUCUUACUCCUGGCCCAAGGUGACAGGCUCACGCAGUUCCUUUCUGAGCAUUGCCAGCUCUCGAUAGAGUCCGACAAUCUCAUAAGACAUGUCCACAAGGGGCCUCAGGAGGUCAUCUGGUCCAGGGCCACUCCACAGUAGGAUCAGCUCCUCUUUUUUAACUUCUAUUUGUAUUUAUUUUUUAGCUCUCACACAUAUGGUCUGGUUUUUGGGCAGUCCUGUGUGGAGGCAGGAGUUGGACUCGUGGUCCUCACAUUUCUCUUCCGACUGGGGUUAUGCUAUGACUCUAUGGUUAUGUUAUCCAGUUGUGCCACCAGGAGAAAAAAAAAAAAAGAGGAAACUUCAAUAAAA
Molecule: long non-coding RNA, 1191 nt
Organism: Gallus gallus (chicken)
Lineage: Eukaryota; Metazoa; Chordata; Aves; Galliformes; Phasianidae
Source: Ensembl